RNAcentral lists this ribosomal RNA (346 nucleotides) under Philantomba monticola (Blue duiker). Its description in RNAcentral is "partial 12S small subunit ribosomal RNA". It matches the Rfam family "Bacterial small subunit ribosomal RNA", at positions 796 to 1337 of the family's 1533-position model. Lineage: Eukaryota; Metazoa; Chordata; Mammalia; Artiodactyla; Bovidae. The record is from RNAcentral.
UCAGCCCUAAACACAAAUAAUUUUAAAAACAAAAUUAUUCGCCAGAGUACUACCGGCAACAGCCUAAAACUCAAAGGACUUGGCGGUGCUUUAUACCCUUCUAGAGGAGCCUGUUCUAUAAUCGAUAAACCCCGAUAGACCUCACCAAUUCUUGCUAAUACAGUCUAUAUACCGCCAUCUUCAGCAAACCCUAAAAAGGAACAAAAGUAAGCGCAAUCAUAACACAUAAAAACGUUAGGUCAAGGUGUAACCUAUGAAAUGGGAAGAAAUGGGCUACAUUUUCUACUUCAAGAAAACCCACAUACGAAAGUUAUUAUGAAACUGAUAACCAAAGGAGGAUUUAGUA